Molecule: transfer RNA, 60 nt
Filed under: Hebenstretia lanceolata
Lineage: Eukaryota; Viridiplantae; Streptophyta; Magnoliopsida; Lamiales; Scrophulariaceae
Description: transfer RNA-Leu
Rfam family: tRNA
About the family: Transfer RNA (tRNA) molecules are approximately 80 nucleotides in length. Their secondary structure includes four short double-helical elements and three loops (D, anti-codon, and T loops).
Source: RNAcentral
GGGGAUAUNNAAAAUCCGUCGACUUUAAAAAUCGUGAGGGUUCAAGUCCCUCUAUCCCCA